CGGGAAGUCCUCGUGUUGCAUCC
RNAcentral lists this small RNA (23 nucleotides) under Arabidopsis thaliana (thale cress). Its description in RNAcentral is "AGO4_01405". The record is from RNAcentral. Lineage: Eukaryota; Viridiplantae; Streptophyta; Magnoliopsida; Brassicales; Brassicaceae.